AAUGCAUUAUUUAGCAUCAUCAUAAUUGUAUGCAUCCUUUAACAUUCCUCCAAAUAUAACUUACAAAGUAGAAAAGUUUAGUGACUUUCACUCUCUCUCACACUCUUUAUAACCACCACCUCACAUUCAUUUUCUACUCAUUCCUAAAUCUUAACAUUUGACAAUUUCACUCAAUCUUUGAGUUUAUUUCUACAUGCUUGGAAGAAAUAAUUUUUCACUGCAGAUAGAAUGCUAAUGGAUGAAAAGAACAUAGAACCAAUGAUAAUUUUUAAGAGGCUUCAUUCCAUGUAAGAUGACAAAAUAUAUUCCUUUCUCAAAUUGUAUCUAAUAAAGAGUCAACUAAUAUUAUGGAGCAAGAAAGUUGUGGAAGAUUUAGAGGAUUGAGAUAUAUGAUGUUUGAAGAAUUUUCCAAUAGUUAGAUAAUAAAUUUAUAGCAUCAAUAUGUUUGGUGCAAGUGAUUCA
This is a long non-coding RNA of Trifolium pratense (red clover), 462 nucleotides long. RefSeq lists it as uncharacterized. The transcript has 3 exons. NCBI's taxonomy places the organism in Eukaryota, Viridiplantae, Streptophyta, Magnoliopsida, Fabales, Fabaceae. The record is from RefSeq and is a predicted model, not a curated record.